GAUGAACGCUGGCGGCGUGCCUAAUACAUGCCAGUCGAGCGAACGGACGAGAAGCUUGCUUCUCUGAUGUUAGCGGCGGACGGGUGAGUAACACGCGGAUAACCUACCUAUAAGACUGGGAUAACUUCGGGAAACCGGAGCUAAUACCGGAUGAUAUUUUGAACCGCAUGGUUCAAAAGUGAAAGACGGUCUUGCUGUCACUUAUAGAUGGAUCCGCGCUGCAUUAGCUAGUUGGUAAGGUAACGGCUUACCAAGGCAACGAUGCAUAGCCGACCUGAGAGGGUGAUCGGCCACACUGGAACUGAGACACGGUCCAGACUCCUACGGGAGGCAGCAGUAGGGAAUCUUCCGCAAUGGGCGAAAGCCUGACGGAGCAACGCCGCGUGAGUGAUGAAGGUCUUCGGAUCGUAAAACUCUGUUAUUAGGGAAGAACAUAUGUGUAAGUAACUGUGCACAUCUUGACGGUACCUAAUCAGAAAGCCACGGCUAACUACGUG
This 497-nucleotide ribosomal RNA is filed under the name uncultured bacterium. RNAcentral describes it as "partial 16S ribosomal RNA". It matches the Rfam family "Bacterial small subunit ribosomal RNA", at positions 28 to 507 of the family's 1533-position model. The record is from RNAcentral.